GGAGAGAUCGCAUAGUGGCCUAGUGCACACGCUUGGAAAGCGUGCAUACCGCAAGGUAUCGCGAGUUCGAAUCUCGCUCUCUCCGCCA
RNAcentral lists this transfer RNA (88 nucleotides) under Candidatus Falkowbacteria bacterium RIFOXYA2_FULL_38_12. Its description in RNAcentral is "tRNA-Ser". It matches the Rfam family "tRNA". Rfam says of the family: Transfer RNA (tRNA) molecules are approximately 80 nucleotides in length. Their secondary structure includes four short double-helical elements and three loops (D, anti-codon, and T loops). Further hydrogen bonds mediate the characteristic L-shaped molecular structure. tRNAs have two regions of fundamental functional importance: the anti-codon, which is responsible for specific mRNA codon recognition, and the 3' end, to which the tRNAs corresponding amino acid is attached (by aminoacyl-tRNA synthetases). tRNAs cope with the degeneracy of the genetic code in two manners: having more than one tRNA (with a specific anti-codon) for a particular amino acid; and 'wobble' base-pairing, i.e. permitting non-standard base-pairing at the 3rd anti-codon position. Lineage: Bacteria; Candidatus Falkowiibacteriota. RNAcentral also lists the same sequence under 3 other names. The record is from RNAcentral.